Molecule: unclassified non-coding RNA, 243 nt
Filed under: Hevea brasiliensis (rubber tree)
Lineage: Eukaryota; Viridiplantae; Streptophyta; Magnoliopsida; Malpighiales; Euphorbiaceae
Source: RNAcentral
UUCUUUCACUCACUAUCGCUAUGAGUCCUACUGGACCAGCUAAUCUCAAUCUCCAGAGUCCGUGAUGAGCCAUCCUUGUUGUUGUCCUGGCUGAGGCUGAAAAGGCCACUAUACAGACCUUCACUAACAACUUUAUCAAUUUGGAUUGUUACCCUCCCGAUAGUGGUCUUCCCAAAUGUGUUUUUGCUUUUGCACAAGAUAUGUAACUUUUGUCCCUUGGGUGGUACAUCAAAAGCCCAUGUG